Molecule: ribosomal RNA, 426 nt
Filed under: Leptolyngbya sp. CYAP20
Lineage: Bacteria; Bacillati; Cyanobacteriota; Cyanophyceae; Leptolyngbyales; Leptolyngbyaceae
Description: bacterial SSU rRNA
Rfam family: Bacterial small subunit ribosomal RNA
Source: RNAcentral
GGGGAAUUUUCCGCAGUGGGCGCAUUCCUGACGGAACAAUACCGCAUGAGGGAAGACGGUUUUUGGGUUGUAAACCUCUUUUAUCGGGCAACAACAAAAUGACGGUUCCUGAUGAAUCAGAAUCGGAUAACUCCGGGCCCGAACCCGCGGUUAUAUGGAGGGAGCACCGCCCCUCCCGAAAUAUUGGGCGUUAAGCGUCCGCAGGUGGUGUUUCAAGGCUGCUGUCUAAGCCUGAAACUUAACUCCAUACCGGCUGAGGAAACUGGAAAACUAUAGUGCUCAUAGGGGUAACGGGAAUUCCCACUGUAGCGGGGAAAUGCCUACAGAUUGGCAAGAACACCCCCGGCAAAAGCGCGUUUCUGGGUCUGCGCUGACACUGUGGGACGAAAGCUAGGGGAGCGAAAGGGAUUAGAUACCCCCUUAGUC